GACGAACGCUGGCGGCGUGCCUAAUACAUGCAAGUUGAGCGCUGAAGGUUGGUACUUGUACCGACUGGAUGAGCAGCGAACGGGUGAGUAACGCGUGGGGCAUCUGCCUUUGAGCGGGGGACAACAUUUGGAAACGAAUGCUAAUACCGCAUAAAAACUUUAAACACAAGUUUUAAGUUUGAAAGAUGCAAUUGCAUCACUCAAAGAUGAUCCCGCGUUGUAUUAGCUAGUUGGUGAGGUAAAGGCUCACCAAGGCGAUGAUACAUAGCCGACCUGAGAGGGUGGUCGGCCACACUGGGACUGAGACACGGCCCAAACUCCUACGGGAGGCAGCAGUAGGGAAUCUUCGGCAAUGGACGAAAGUCUGACCGAGCAACGCCGCGUGAGUGAAGAAGGUUGUCGGAUCGUAAAACUCUGUUGUUAGGGAAGAACGUUGGUGAGAGUGGAAAGCUCAUCAAGUGACGGUAACUACCCAGAAAGCGACGGCUAACUACGUG
This 497-nucleotide ribosomal RNA is filed under the name uncultured bacterium. RNAcentral's name for it is "partial 16S ribosomal RNA". It matches the Rfam family "Bacterial small subunit ribosomal RNA", at positions 28 to 507 of the family's 1533-position model. The record is from RNAcentral.